RNAcentral lists this ribosomal RNA (253 nucleotides) under uncultured bacterium. Its description in RNAcentral is "partial 16S ribosomal RNA". It matches the Rfam family "Bacterial small subunit ribosomal RNA", at positions 524 to 776 of the family's 1533-position model. The record is from RNAcentral.
UACGAAGGGUGCAAGCGUUGUUCGGAAUUACUGGGCGUAAAGCGCGCGUAGGCGGCUUGACAAGUCAGUGGUGAAAUCCCAAGGCUCAACCUUGGAACUGCCAUUGAAACUGUCUGGCUGGAGUGUCGGAGGGGAUAGCGGAAUUGCUAAUGUAGCGGUGAAAUGCGUAGAUAUUAGCAGGAACACCGGUGGCGAAGGCGGCUAUCUGGACGACAACUGACGCUGAGGCGCGAAAGCGUGGGGAGCAAACAGG